AGUAGAAUGGCUGAGGUAUAUUAUAGGUAAAAGAUUGUAAAUCUUUUGAGGAGUUUAAACUCUUCUACUA
This 70-nucleotide transfer RNA is filed under the name Geoscapheus dilatatus. Its description in RNAcentral is "tRNA-Tyr". Lineage: Eukaryota; Metazoa; Arthropoda; Insecta; Blattodea; Blaberidae. The record is from RNAcentral.